RNAcentral lists this ribosomal RNA (585 nucleotides) under uncultured fungus. RNAcentral's name for it is "eukaryotic LSU rRNA". It matches the Rfam family "Eukaryotic large subunit ribosomal RNA", at positions 191 to 632 of the family's 3401-position model. The record is from RNAcentral. Lineage: Eukaryota; Fungi.
UGGAACAUCGUAUCAGAGAGGGUGAGAAUCCCGUUCUUGGCUGGGUGAAGGCCGCGUUCGAGCCGUUCUCAAAGAGUCGGGUUGCUUGGGAGUGCAGCCCUAAGUGGGUGGUAAAUUUCAUCUAAAGCUAAAUACAUGUGGGAGACCGAUAGCGAACAAGUACCGUGAGGGAAAGAUGAAAAGAACUUUGAAAAGAGAGUUAAAAAGUACUUGAAAUUGCUGAGAACGAAGGGAUGGCGACUAGUAAUGACUCGGGCGAUCCUCGGGCUGCAGUUGUUCUGGCGUUUGUGAUUGCGUAGCUUCACUUGCGUCGGGUGUCGGCUUUGGUUCGGGAUCCGAUCGUUCGGGUCUAGGUCAGAAUGGAUUCGCAGCGGUUGAAACUGGCGGCGGGAAGGUAACUUGGACGUCAAACUCCUCGAACUUAUAGCCCGCCGUUUAGAGACUGUUGUGGAUUGAGGUGCUGAAGCGCGCGCUCUAAGCUCUUGAUGCGUCGACCGCUGUUGGGUUCGCCGCCGUUGGGGAACAAAGUUCCGUUUCGGUCGGCAGCCUGCACUCGGACGUCGCUCAUUUGUCGCGCUCGGGAUU